GGAAUUUAAGCAGGAUUCCCCCUCCUCCUUCACCUCCUUAACAGCAACUGGAAUGGAUUGAAAAGCAUCUGCCACUGCUGAAGACAGGAUAUUGGGCUAAACAGAUGUGUGCUCCCAACUCCCAGCAGUUCCCAUGUUCCUCCCAGCACCAGGAACUGGCGUUGCCUCAUUGCAAGCUUCUAUUUGCUUUCAAUUAUCAGAAGAUAGAAAUGGGCUUCAGAGCUAAACUACUGCAAUACCUUGAGCCCCG
This 250-nucleotide long non-coding RNA is filed under the name Anas platyrhynchos platyrhynchos (common mallard). RNAcentral's name for it is "lncRNA (ENSAPLG00000021494.1)". The record is from RNAcentral. Lineage: Eukaryota; Metazoa; Chordata; Aves; Anseriformes; Anatidae.